UUUAUAACAAGUAGUUGGUUG
This 21-nucleotide non-coding RNA is filed under the name Caenorhabditis elegans. Lineage: Eukaryota; Metazoa; Nematoda; Chromadorea; Rhabditida; Rhabditidae. The record is from RNAcentral.